RNAcentral lists this ribosomal RNA (502 nucleotides) under uncultured bacterium. RNAcentral's name for it is "partial 16S ribosomal RNA". It matches the Rfam family "Bacterial small subunit ribosomal RNA", at positions 28 to 507 of the family's 1533-position model. The record is from RNAcentral.
GAUUAACGCUGGCGGCGUGCCUAACACAUGCAAGUCGAGCGGCAGCGAGUUUUACACUGACUUCUGGAAGCUUCUAGUUGAAAGAGAAGAUUUAUUCAAGAAUUUUGUGUAAAAUGUCGGCGAGCGGCGGACGGCUGAGUAACGCGUGGGAACGUACCCCAAAGUGAGGGAUAACGCAUCGAAAGGUGUGCUAAUACCGCAUAUGGUCUUCGGAUUAAAGCCUUCGGGCGCUUUGGGAACGGCCUGCGUAAGAUUAGAUAGUUGGUGGGGUAAUGGCCUACCAAGUCGACGAUCUGUAACUGGUUUGAGAGGAUGAUCAGUCAGACUGGAACUGAGACACGGUCCAGACUCCUACGGGAGGCAGCAGUGAGGAAUCUUCCACAAUGGGCGAAAGCCUGAUGGAGCAACGCCGCGUGCAGGAUGAAGGCCUUCGGGUUGUAAACUGCUUUUAUAAGUGAGGAUUAUGACAGUAACUUAUGAAUAAGGAUCGGCUAACUACGUG